This is a long non-coding RNA of Pteropus alecto (black flying fox), 455 nucleotides long. RefSeq lists it as uncharacterized. The transcript has 3 exons. The record is from RefSeq and is a predicted model, not a curated record. NCBI's taxonomy places the organism in Eukaryota, Metazoa, Chordata, Mammalia, Chiroptera, Pteropodidae.
AGCAGAGAUGGAGACAGGGUCAGCGCCCCCUGCCAGCCCUCGCCCCUCGGGCUUCUGUCUUCACAGCAGGCAUCUCCUUAGGCAGGACGGCAAUUCAUUUUAACAGCUAUACCCUUUGGGCCCACAGUGCGUUGGACACUCAAAGUCUUGGGACUUGAGAUAAACAGCCCAGCGCAACCCACUGACCUCCUGUGAGUGGCGAAGUCGUCCAGGUCGGCACUCCGCACCACCCUCUCGUAGGGCACGUUGGCCGUGAUGAGCCUGCGGCUGUUAAAGGAGAUGUGACGGACGGGGUGUCUGGAACACAAAGCGGGGGGCUCCUGUAAAGAGGAAGAAACGGGGUCCUCAGAAGGGUGGUGUCUCGCCUCUGCUCCCAAUGCUGGUCGGAGCCAGGCCACUCUGUAAGCAAGUCCCAGUGCCCCCGAUGCAUGCUGGUCGGUUGCCCAGCAACGUGG